GCAGGUGUUAUUACAGGGUACAGUGUUUAAUAGUCACAUUUACAGGGUUACAGGUGUUAUUACAGGGUACAGUGUUUAAUAGUCACAUUUACAGGGUUACAGGUGUUAUUACAGGGUACAGUGUUUAAUAGUCACAUGUACAGGGUUGCAGGUGUUAUUACAGUGUUUAAUAGUCACAUGUACAGGGUUACAGGUGUUAUUACAGUGUUUAAUAGUCACAUGUACAGGGUUGCAGGUGUGAUUACAGUGUUUAAUAGUCACAUGUACAGGGUAGCAGGUGUUAUUACAGUGUAAUUGUCACAUGUACAGGGUAGCAGGUGUGAUUACAGGGUACAGUGUUUAAUAGUCA
Oncorhynchus tshawytscha (Chinook salmon) is the source of this 349-nucleotide long non-coding RNA. NCBI's taxonomy places the organism in Eukaryota, Metazoa, Chordata, Actinopteri, Salmoniformes, Salmonidae. The record is from Ensembl.